This is a transfer RNA of Loxodonta africana (African savanna elephant), 59 nucleotides long. It matches the Rfam family "tRNA". From Rfam's summary of the family: Transfer RNA (tRNA) molecules are approximately 80 nucleotides in length. The record is from Rfam. Lineage: Eukaryota; Metazoa; Chordata; Mammalia; Proboscidea; Elephantidae.
AGUGGUUAAGAGCUUGGCUGCUAACCAAGAGGUUGGCAGUUCGAAUCUACCAGCCACUC